GUUAAGUUAUUAAGGGCGCAUGGUGGAUGCCUUGGCACUAGGAGCCGAUGAAGGACGGGACUAACACCGAUAUGCUUCGGGGAGCUGUAAGUAAGCUUUGAUCCGGAGAUUUCCGAAUGGGGGAACCCAACUUGUUAUGCAAGUUAUCACCUAAUGAAUAUAUAGUUAGGUUGAAGGUAGACGUUGUGAACUGAAACAUCUCAUUAGCAACAGGAAUAGAAAGAAAAAUCGAUACCGUCAGUAGCGGCGAGCGAAAUCGGUAGAGCCCAAACCAAAGUGCUUGCACUUUGGGGUUGUAGGACUGACAUUGUGGAGUUACAAAGUUAGCAUUUAGCAGAAUCAGCUGGGAAGCUGAGCGAGACAGGGUGAUAGCCCCGUAUGCGAAAAAUGUUGACCUCCCGUCAGGAUCCUGAGUACGGCCGGACACGUGAAAUCCGGUCGGAAUCCGCGAGGACCAUCUCGCAAGGCUAAAUACUCCCUAGUGACCGAUAGUGAACCAGUACCGUGAGGGAAAGGUGAAAAGCACCCCGGAAGGGGAGUGAAAAAGUUCCUGAAACCAUGUGCCUACAAGAAGUUAGAGCCCGUUAAUGGGUGAUAGCGUGCCUUUUGUAGAAUGAACCGGCGAGUUACGAUAACGUGCAAGGUUAAGGUGGAAAGACCGGAGCCGUAGCGAAAGCGAGUCUGAAAUGGGCGAAUUAGUACGUUGUUGUAGACCCGAAACCAGGUGACCUACCCAUGUCCAGGGUGAAGGUGCGGUAAAACGCACUGGAGGCCCGAACCCGUGCAUGUUGAAAAAUGCUGGGAUGAGGUGUGGGUAGCGGUGAAAUUCCAAUCGAACUUGGAGAUAGCUGGUUCUCUCCGAAAUAGCUUUAGGGCUAGCCUCGGAAUGUAGCGUGUUGGAGGUAGAGCACUGUUUUGGUGCGGGGCCCAUCUCGGGUUACCAAAUUAAGAUAAACUCCGAAUGCCAAUCACGUAUGUCCGGGAGUCAGACAGUGAGUGAUAAGAUCCAUUGUCGAAAGGGGAACAGCCCAGAUCGUCAGUUAAGGUCCCUAAGUGUGUGUUAAGUGGAAAAGGAUGUGGAGUUGCAUAGACAACUAGGAUGUUGGCUCAGAAGCAGCCACCAUUUAAAGAGUGCGUAAUAGCUCACUAGUCGAGUGAUUCUGCGCCGAAAAUGUACCGGGGCUAAACACACCACCGAAACUACGGGUGCCACGUAAGUGGCGCGAUAGGAGAGCGUUCUAAGGGCGAUGAAGUCAGACCGUGAGGACUGGUGGAGCGCUUAGAAGUGAGAAUGCCGGUAUGAGUAGCGAAAGACAGGUGAGAAUCCUGUCCACCGUAUGACUAAGGUUUCCUGGGGAAGGCUCGUCCUCCCAGGGUUAGUCGGGACCUAAGGCGAGGCCGAAAGGCGUAGUCGAUGGAUAACAGGUUGAGAUUCCUGUACCAGGUGAACAUGUUUGAACGAUGGAGGGACGCAGAAGGCUAACGGAUCCCAGCUGCUGGAUAUGCUGGGUUAAAUAAUGAGUCUUAGAUCGAGUUAAAUGCUUUAUCUUUUAAGGACAAGUUAUGAUGAGGACCGAAAUAAAGUAGGGAAGUCCGUGAUGUCACGCUGCCGAGAAAAGCUUCUAGUUAGUGUUUACCUGCCCGUACCGCAAACCGACACAGGUAGUCGAGGAGAGCAUCCUAAGGUGAGCGAGUGAACUCUCGUUAAGGAACUCGGCAAAAUGACCCCGUAACUUCGGGAGAAGGGGUGCUCAGCGAAAGCUGAGCCGCAGUGAAUAGGCCCAGGCGACUGUUUAUCAAAAACACAGGUUUCUGCAAAAUCGUAAGAUGACGUAUAGGGGCUGACGCCUGCCCGGUGCUGGAAGGUUAAAAGGAGUGCUUAGCUUCGGCGAAGGUACGAAUUGAAGCCCCAGUAAACGGCGGCCGUAACUAUAACGGUCCUAAGGUAGCGAAAUUCCUUGUCGGGUAAGUUCCGACCCGCACGAAAGGCGUAACGAUCUGGGCACUGUCUCAACGAGAGACUCGGUGAAAUUUAAAUACCCGUGAAGAUGCGGGUUACCCGCGACAGGACGGAAAGACCCCAUGGAGCUUUACUGUAGCUUGAUAUUGAGUGUUUGUGCAGCUUGUACAGCAUAGGUAGGAGCCGUUGAUACCGGGACGCUAGUUUCGGUGGAGGCAUCAUUGGGAUACUACCCUCGUUGUAUGACCACUCUAACUCGCACCACUAAGCGUGGUGGAAGACAGUGUCUGGCAGGCAGUUUGACUGGGGCGGUCGCCUCCUAAAAGGUAACGGAGGCGCCCAAAGGUUCCCUCAGAAUGGUUGGAAAUCAUUC
This 2333-nucleotide ribosomal RNA is filed under the name Weissella cibaria. RNAcentral's name for it is "bacterial LSU rRNA". It matches the Rfam family "Bacterial large subunit ribosomal RNA", at positions 1 to 2343 of the family's 2925-position model. The record is from RNAcentral. Lineage: Bacteria; Bacillati; Bacillota; Bacilli; Lactobacillales; Lactobacillaceae.